GACGAACGCUGGCGGCGUGCCUAAUACAUGCAAGUAGAACGCUGAAGGAGGAGCUUGCUUCUCUGGAUGAGUUGCGAACGGGUGAGUAACGCGUAGGUAACCUGCCUGGUAGCGGGGGAUAACUAUUGGAAACGAUAGCUAAUACCGCAUAAUAGUAGAUGUUGCAUGACAUUUGCUUAAAAGGUGCAAUUGCAUCACUACCAGAUGGACCUGCGUUGUAUUAGCUAGUUGGUGAGGUAACGGCUCACCAAGGCGACGAUACAUAGCCGACCUGAGAGGGUGAUCGGCCACACUGGGACUGAGACACGGCCCAGACUCCUACGGGAGGCAGCAGUAGGGAAUCUUCGGCAAUGGACGGAAGUCUGACCGAGCAACGCCGCGUGAGUGAAGAAGGUUUUCGGAUCGUAAAGCUCUGUUGUAAGAGAAGAACGAGUGUGAGAGUGGAAAGUUCACACUGUGACGGUAUCUUACCAGAAAGGGACGGCUAACUACAUG
Molecule: ribosomal RNA, 495 nt
Filed under: uncultured bacterium
Lineage: Bacteria
Description: partial 16S ribosomal RNA
Rfam family: Bacterial small subunit ribosomal RNA
Source: RNAcentral